AGGAUGAACGCUGGCGGCGUGCCUAAAACAUGCAAGUCGAACGGCCUGACUUCGGUCAGGCAGUGGCAAACGGGUGAGUAACACGUGGGAACACGCCUUCGAGUGGGGAAUAACGCUGAGAAAUCAGUGCUAAUACCGCAUAUGGUCGAGAGACUAAAGCAGCAAUGCGCUCGGAGAGUGGCCCGCGGUCGAUUAGCUAGUUGGUGGGGUAAUGGCCUACCAAGGCGGCAAUCGAUAGC
This 239-nucleotide ribosomal RNA is filed under the name uncultured bacterium. RNAcentral describes it as "partial small subunit ribosomal RNA". It matches the Rfam family "Bacterial small subunit ribosomal RNA", at positions 26 to 287 of the family's 1533-position model. The record is from RNAcentral.